CAACACAAGGUUUUGCAGGCAGGCUUGCAGCUGAAAUUGCUUACAUUAACAGUAUGAGCAAUUGCUUCCACCGUACUGAUGAGACCAGGAGAUGAACCUGGGAAUAACUCCAUGGGCAGUGGGAUCACAGACUUGCUGACAGGGUUGUAGAGCUGGAUGGCCUCAAGAGGUUGUGCAACCCAUUUCUUGCUGAACAUGGAAGCAACUAUGCUCAGGUUAUUCCUGGCAGAUAUUUGUCUAAUCUACUCUGAGGAAAUUUUGAAUGAUGGACAUUCCACAGCCUUUCACAGCAAUCUAUUCCCCUGCUUGACAUCUGUAAUGUACAUAAAUCAGAGAACAUUCAGAGAUGCUGAAAGGCAGAAAGAUCCUUGCCUCUUCUAACAAUUAAAAUAUAUUACUUACCUAAUUGUGAUGAUUUGGGUAUUUUUGACCUUGAUUUUUAUUUGUUACAUGUUUGCAGGUUUAUUUAUUACUCAGAUAUAUUGACAUAAAACUAAGAUCAGAUUCUCUAGAAUUAUGCUCUGGAUAACAGUGUUUGAUAUUAAUAUACAAGUCCAUCCAGAGGGUUCU
Passer domesticus (house sparrow) is the source of this 570-nucleotide long non-coding RNA. RefSeq lists it as uncharacterized. Lineage: Eukaryota; Metazoa; Chordata; Aves; Passeriformes; Passeridae. The transcript is spliced from 3 exons. The record is from RefSeq and is a predicted model, not a curated record.